CACACACCAACACACACAAUCACACACACUCAUACGAACACAGACACACACACGAACAGGGCGUCGCCGCCCUUCUACCCCGGCUAAGAUGGCCGCCGCCAGCCACCUCGGCACACCACCUUGGAUUUUUCUAAUAUUCACAAUUUUUUUCUUUGGCGAUUGGUAUCUCUCCGAAGAGGAAGAGUUUCUCCGAUUAAGGUCUUGGCCCCGUUCCGACGCGUUGUAGAUUAAUGAACUUCUGGUUUUCUUUCUCUUUCUCUUGAUCGAUUGGAGCUUGAUUUUAUAUUUUUUGUGGCUGCAUUUGGUGUAUGGAAGAGUCUGAUUCCAUGAGCAAGACAAGAUGAUUGGUUUAGUGAAAGGUUUUAAGGUGGGAUGGGUGCUCGUCUGAAAAAGGGAUAUGCAAACAGAAUUUGUGGCUUCAAAAUGAGUUGAACAACUAUUCAUAGUGUUGAAGUAGAUAUUCAAUUACUUUUGUUCACUUAUUCAUAACUGAAUAAUAGUUAUUCGGAACUUAUUGUAUGAUAUUCAUUACUGAAUAAUAUUUGAAGUUGAUAUUCGAUUA
Long non-coding RNA from Salvia miltiorrhiza (redroot sage), 562 nucleotides. RefSeq lists it as uncharacterized. The transcript is spliced from 2 exons. Lineage: Eukaryota; Viridiplantae; Streptophyta; Magnoliopsida; Lamiales; Lamiaceae. The record is from RefSeq and is a predicted model, not a curated record.